Molecule: non-coding RNA, 215 nt
Filed under: Fusibacter sp.
Lineage: Bacteria; Bacillati; Bacillota; Clostridia; Eubacteriales; Fusibacteraceae
Description: T-box sequence
Rfam family: T-box leader
About the family: Uncharged tRNA acts as the effector for transcription antitermination of genes in the T-box leader family. T-boxes are found upstream of many aminoacyl-tRNA synthetase genes and some amino acid biosynthetic genes usually in Gram-positive bacteria.
Source: RNAcentral
AUAACAUCUGGGAAAAAGAGGAGUAAACAUUACGUAUUUAGUAGAGAAAAGAAUCCAUCGGCUGUAAGGUUCUUUAAAUGGCGCGUGUUGAAGGUAGCUUUGGAGAUGAGUUUCUGAAAAAGAGUAAGAAAUUCCGGUGAGAAUCGUUAAAUCUGUCGAGAGUUAUGAUGCAAGUCAUAAAAUUAGGGUGGUAACGCGGUCCAUUCGUCCCUUUC